Molecule: unclassified non-coding RNA, 472 nt
Filed under: Hevea brasiliensis (rubber tree)
Lineage: Eukaryota; Viridiplantae; Streptophyta; Magnoliopsida; Malpighiales; Euphorbiaceae
Source: RNAcentral
AGGGAAAAAAAAAAAAAGCUACAUCCAGCUAGCUCUCCAACAACCACUUUGUUAAGAUGGCCGUGGUGGGCCAUUCUAAAAAGGCAUGCAAAAGCGGUCUAAUCUGUCGUGGCCUUAAACGGACACCGGUCAGUCAAGUUCAGCGAAGCAUAUUCCUUUCGAAGUAGAGAGAGAGAACGAUUGGUGUUCGAUUUUCUCAUGUCAGGUAAAUUAAGCAGAAGAAGAAGGGAUUUUUCUUUCCCCCCAUUUCCGUCAUCGCAUUCGCAUUACAGUUAUUGUUAAUAAAUAAACAUCACUCCAUAAUACGCCGCCGCCGUAGUCACCAAUGCGAUGCUCAUCAUUAGUGAUUACGAUCUAUCCCACGUGACUGUACCACCGGGCACCGGCACGUAUAUUGAAGUCGUCUUUGGAUCUUUGCUUACAUGAACCGACCGGCCCUCCUCUUGCUUUUUAAACUACACUUUAUAGCCAA